This 254-nucleotide ribosomal RNA is filed under the name uncultured bacterium. RNAcentral's name for it is "partial 16S ribosomal RNA". It matches the Rfam family "Bacterial small subunit ribosomal RNA", at positions 524 to 776 of the family's 1533-position model. The record is from RNAcentral.
CACGUAGGGACCAAGCGUUGUCCGGAUUCAUUGGGCGUGAAGAGCUCGUAGGCGGUUCGAUAAGUCGGGUGUGAAACCUCCAGGCUCAACCUGGAGACGCCACCCGAUACUGUCGUGACUAGAGUCCAGUAGGGGAGCGUGGAAUUCCUGGUGUAGCGGUGAAAUGCGCAGAUAUCAGGAAGAACACCAAUGGCGAAGGCAGAUCUCUGGGCCGUAACUGACGCUGAGGAGCGAAAGCAUGGGGAGCGAACAGG